UACGUAGGGAGCAAGCGUUAUCCGGAUUUAUUGGGUGUAAAGGGUGCGUAGACGGGAAGGCAAGUUAGUUGUGAAAUCCCUCGGCUCAACUGAGGAACUGCAACUAAAACUGGAUUUCUUGAGUGCUGGAGAGGAAAGCGGAAUUCCUAGUGUAGCGGUGAAAUGCGUAGAUAUUAGGAGGAACACCAGUGGCGAAGGCGGCUUUCUGGACAGUAACUGACGUUGAGGCACGAAAGUGUGGGGAGCAA
Molecule: ribosomal RNA, 248 nt
Filed under: uncultured Oscillospiraceae bacterium
Lineage: Bacteria; Bacillati; Bacillota; Clostridia; Eubacteriales; Oscillospiraceae
Description: partial 16S ribosomal RNA
Rfam family: Bacterial small subunit ribosomal RNA
Source: RNAcentral